Anguilla anguilla (European eel) is the source of this 216-nucleotide long non-coding RNA. RefSeq lists it as uncharacterized. The transcript is spliced from 4 exons. The record is from RefSeq and is a predicted model, not a curated record. Lineage: Eukaryota; Metazoa; Chordata; Actinopteri; Anguilliformes; Anguillidae.
AAUCUGGCUCAGGUAAACUCAGGUGUCACACAGGUAAACCUGGCACAGGUAAACUCAGGUGUGUCACACAGGUAAACUCAGGUGUGUCACACAGGUAAACUCAGGUGUCACACAGGUAAACCCGGCUCAGGUAAACUCAGGUGUGUCACACAGGUAAACUCAGGUGUCACACAGGUAAACCCGGCUCAGGUAAACUCAGGUGUCACACAGGUAAAC